CAUGGCUCAGGACGAACGCUGGCGGCGUGCUUAACACAUGCAAGUCGAACGAAAAUACCAAGCUUGCUUGGUUGAUUAGUGGCGAACGGGUGAGUAACACGUGAGUAACCUGCCCCUUACUUUCCUGGAUAACUGCUCGAAAGGGUAGCUAAUACGGGAUAUUCUGACCAGUCUGCAUGGGUUGGUUUGGAAAGGUUUUUUCUGGUAAGGGAUGGGCUCGCGGCCUAUCAGCUUGUUGGUGGGGUGAUGGCCUACCAAGGCUUUGACGGGUAGCCGGCCUGAGAGGGUGGACGGUCACACUGGGACUGAGAUACGGCCCAGACUCCUACGG
RNAcentral lists this ribosomal RNA (331 nucleotides) under uncultured bacterium. RNAcentral's name for it is "bacterial SSU rRNA". It matches the Rfam family "Bacterial small subunit ribosomal RNA", at positions 18 to 344 of the family's 1533-position model. The record is from RNAcentral.